RNAcentral lists this ribosomal RNA (478 nucleotides) under uncultured bacterium. RNAcentral describes it as "partial 16S ribosomal RNA". It matches the Rfam family "Bacterial small subunit ribosomal RNA", at positions 28 to 523 of the family's 1533-position model. The record is from RNAcentral.
GACGAACGCUGGCGGCGUGCUUAACACAUGCAAGUCGAACGGUAAGGCCCUUCGGGGUACACGAGUGGCGAACGGGUGAGUAACACGUGGGUGAUCUGCCCUGCACUUCGGGAUAAGCCUGGGAAACUGGGUCUAAUACCGGAUAGGACUCCUGGCUUCAUGGUUGGGGGUGGAAAGCUUUUGCGGUGUGGGAUGGGCCCGCGGCCUAUCAGCUUGUUGGUGGGGUAAUGGCCUACCAAGGCGACGACGGGUAGCCGGCCUGAGAGGGUGACCGGUCACACUGGGACUGAGAUACGGCACAGACUCAUACGGGAGGCAGCAGUGGGGAAUAUUGCACAAUGGGCGCAAGCCUGAUGCAGCGACGCCGCGUGAGGGAUGACGGCCUUCGGGUUGUAAACCUCUUUCAGCUAUGACGAAGCGCAAGUGACGGUAGUAGCAGAAGAAGGACCGGCCAACUACGUGCCAGCAGCCGCGGUAA